GACGAACGCUGGCGGCGUGCUUAACACAUGCAAGUCGAACGGAAAGGCCCUGCUUUUGUGGGGUGCUCGAGUGGCGAACGGGUGAGUAACACGUGAGUAACCUGCCCUUGACUUUGGGAUAACUUCAGGAAACUGGGGCUAAUACCGGAUAGGAGCUCCUGCUGCAUGGUGGGGGUUGGAAAGUUUCGGCGGUUGGGGAUGGACUCGCGGCUUAUCAGCUUGUUGGUGGGGUAGUGGCUUACCAAGGCUUUGACGGGUAGCCGGCCUGAGAGGGUGACCGGCCACAUUGGGACUGAGAUACGGCCCAGACUCCUACGGGAGGCAGCAGUGGGGAAUAUUGCACAAUGGGCGGAAGCCUGAUGCAGCAACGCCGCGUGCGGGAUGACGGCCUUCGGGUUGUAAACCGCUUUCGCCUGUGACGAAGCGUGAGUGACGGUAAUGGGUAAAGAAGCACCGGCUAACUACGUGCCAGCAGCCGCGGUGAUACGUAGGGUGCGAGCGUUGUCCGGAUUUAUUGGGCGUAAAGGGCUCGUAGGUGGUUGAUCGCGUCGGAAGUGUAAUCUUGGGGCUUAACCCUGAGCGUGCUUUCGAUACGGGUUGACUUGAGGAAGGUAGGGGAGAAUGGAAUUCCUGGUGGAGCGGUGGAAUGCGCAGAUAUCAGGAGGAACACCAGUGGCGAAGGCGGUUCUCUGGGCCUUUCCUGACGCUGAGGAGCGAAAGCGUGGGGAGCGAACAGGAUUAGAUACCCUGGUAGUCCACGCUGUAAACGGUGGGUACUAGGUGUGGGGUCCAUUCCACGGGUUCCGUGCCGUAGCUAACGCUUUAAGUACCCCGCCUGGGGAGUACGGCCGCAAGGCUAAAACUCAAAGGAAUUGACGGGGCCCCGCACAAGCGGCGGAGCAUGCGGAUUAAUUCGAUGCAACGCGUAGAACCUUACCUGGGUUUGACAUGGAUCGGGAGUGCUCAGAGAUGGGUGUGCCUCUUUUGGGGUCGGUUCACAGGUGGUGCAUGGCUGUCGUCAGCUCGUGUCGUGAGAUGUUGGGUUAAGUCCCGAAACGAGCGCAACCCUUGUUCACUGUUGCCAGCACGUUAUGGUGGGGACUCAGUGGAGACCGCCGGGGUCAACUCGGAGGAAGGUGGGGAUGACGUCAAGUCAUCAUGCCCCUUAUGUCCAGGGCUUCACGCAUGCUACAAUGGCUGGUACAGAGAGUGGCGAGCCUGUGAGGGUGAGCGAAUCUCGGAAAGUCGGUCUCAGUUCGGAUUGGGGUCUGCAACUCGACCUCAUGAAGUCGGAGUCGCUAGUAAUCGCAGAUCAGCAACGCUGCGGUGAAUACGUUCCCGGGGCU
This 1346-nucleotide ribosomal RNA is filed under the name uncultured bacterium. Its description in RNAcentral is "partial 16S ribosomal RNA". It matches the Rfam family "Bacterial small subunit ribosomal RNA", at positions 28 to 1381 of the family's 1533-position model. The record is from RNAcentral.